GAGUUUGAUCGUGGCUCAGGACGAACGCUGGCGGCGUGCUUAACACAUGCAAGUCGAACGGGGUCCAACUGAUGGCAACAUCAGGGAAGAUCUAGUGGCGAACGGGUGAGUAACACGUGAAGAACCCACCCCGAUCUCUGGAAUAACAGUCGGAAACGAUUGCUAAUACCGGAUGCCCUCCUCGUGUCACCUGGCACAGGGGAGGAAAGGGUUACCGGAUCGGGUCGGCUUCGCGGCCUAUCAGCUUGUUGGUGGGGUAACGGCCCACCAAGGCGUCGACGGGUAGCUGGUCUGAGAGGAUGAUCAGCCACACUGGGACUGAGACACGGCCCAGACUCCUACGGGAGGCAGCAGUGGGGAGUCUUGCGCAAUGGGCGAAAGCCUGACGCAGCAACGCCGCGUGCGGGAUGAAGGCCCUCGGGUUGUAAACCGCUUUCAGCAGGAACGAAUCUGACGGUACCUGCAGAAGAAGGUCCGGCUAACUACGUGCCAGCCGCCGCGGUAAC
RNAcentral lists this ribosomal RNA (506 nucleotides) under uncultured Actinomycetes bacterium. RNAcentral's name for it is "bacterial SSU rRNA". It matches the Rfam family "Bacterial small subunit ribosomal RNA", at positions 9 to 524 of the family's 1533-position model. Lineage: Bacteria; Bacillati; Actinomycetota; Actinomycetes. The record is from RNAcentral.